ACCAAAAAAACCAAAAAACAAA
Molecule: small RNA, 22 nt
Filed under: Arabidopsis thaliana (thale cress)
Lineage: Eukaryota; Viridiplantae; Streptophyta; Magnoliopsida; Brassicales; Brassicaceae
Description: ATSL011720
Source: RNAcentral